UGGGGAAUAUUGGACAAUGGGGGAAACCCUGAUCCAGCGAUGCCGCGUGUGUGAAGAAGGCCUGCGGGUUGUAAAGCACUUUAGGGCGGGGCGAAGAUAGUUAGGCGAACACCCUAAGUAUUUGACAGUACCGCCAGAAUAAGCACCGGCAAACUCUGUGCCAGCAGCCGCGGUAAGACAGAGGGUGCAAGCGUUAAUCGGAAUUACUGGGCGUAAAGGGCGCGUAGGCGGAACGUUAAGUGAGAUGUGAAAGCCCUGGGCUCAACCUAGGAAUGGCAUUUCAAACUGGCGCUCUGGAGUAGGGUAGAGGGGUGUGGAAUUCACGGUGUAGCGGUGAAAUGCGUAGAUAUCGUGAGGAACAUCGAAGGCGAAGGCAGCACUCUGGGCCCAUACUGACGCUGAGGCGCGAAAGCGUGGGGAGCAAACA
RNAcentral lists this ribosomal RNA (427 nucleotides) under uncultured bacterium. RNAcentral describes it as "bacterial SSU rRNA". It matches the Rfam family "Bacterial small subunit ribosomal RNA", at positions 355 to 774 of the family's 1533-position model. The record is from RNAcentral.